CGGAUGUAGUUUAGUGGCAAAACCUUAGCUUCCCAAGCUAAAGUUGUGGGUUCGAUUCCCAUCAUCCG
This 68-nucleotide transfer RNA is filed under the name human gut metagenome. It matches the Rfam family "tRNA". Rfam says of the family: Transfer RNA (tRNA) molecules are approximately 80 nucleotides in length. The record is from RNAcentral.